AGGGAACAGGGGACACAGCCUUUUUAGGGGGGUGAAGUGGCUUUAUGGGAAUAACAUGUAAGAGUCACAUACCACUAUUAGACUGAACGAUAAAUGUUGAAGUCAUAGCAACAGAUUGGCUACGUGAAGCGACGACCUCUGGAAGCUGAAAAAGUCAACGGUAGUCAGGGAAACCAAUUCAGCUGCGCAAUUGAGAACAGUCUUCUUCGCUUAAACCAAAUCCCUCGAAAAUCAGAGAGGUGCCCUAUAACGUUAUCGACGCAGCUGUUGUUCGGGGUUAACUGCCUUACUCAAGGGGAGAACGGCAGAUUUACCACCAUGCAGGCUCGGGUGUUCAAGCCAGCGACCUUUCGAUGACUGACCUAACGCGCUUUACCGCUAAACUACCUGCCGACUGAAUCAAACGAAACGACAUCCCUUCCAUGCUGCUUCUCUCCUGGCUAUCAUUCCGGUAACACAGCCUCCGUUGUGUCAGUGUUUUGAUGGGCCCCAGCAUUCAAUCGUAUUGAAAUUGUUCCAAAAUGGCGUCUACCACUUUGUGCCAUACGGGGAAAUGGACUUCUUCCAGAUUGGCAGCAACCCCCUUCAGAGACUACGGUUUCAUCCCAUCCUGGUCGUUGUGCCACUGCCUCACCACCAUGUUGCCUCUCUCUGACUGACUGGCCAGGGCUGCCCUGCAGAGACCCCUCCCUAGUGAAGUCCUCUCCCCUCCCAUCUCACCUGCCCUCUCCAUCCUCCCCAGACCUCCCAUCCCGACCCCUCCACCCCCUCAGAGAAUAAAGGACGCUUCAUGAGGGGCUGGUGGAUGCCACGGUUAUCAAUCCUGCAUCCCAGUGGAGGCACGUCACACACUGUGAGCCCAGCGCAAGGCAGCGGUCUUUGGUGAAUGGGGUUAUAAUGGCCUUGCACCAUCCUGCUGACCAACAGUGUUACCGACCGGCUUCCAGAGAUUCCUGCUCCUUCAUCAAAUGUCAAAUGUACAUUAUCCCAAGGGCAUUGGCAGACACAAUAUGACGGGGAUUUGGACCUUGACAAAGCAGUAAAUCCUUUGCAUCGGACUCAUUAAAGAAAAAAUCUUCAUCCAGUUCGAGGUGAGGAAUCGCCGUUCUGACGUCCAGAAGCUCUUUCCGGUCAUAAGAGACGGUAGAAGCAACAUUAUGUACAAAACAAGUUACUAACAAUGCGAAAAAACUAACACAAUAGCACAGCUGGUUGGGAGCCUGUUAAACAGCAGCCCUGGUCAAAAGUAGUGCACUACAUAUAUGAACCCUGGUCAAAUGUAGUGCACUACAUAUAUGAACCCUGGUCAGAAGUAGUGCACUACAUAUAUGAACCCUGGCCAAAAGUAGUGCACUACAUAUAUGAACCCUGGCCAAAAGUAGUGCACUACAUAUAUGAACCCUGGUCAAAAGUAGUGCACUACAUAUAUGAACCCUGGCCAAAAGUAGUGCACUACAUAUUUGAACCCUGGCCAAAAGUAGUGCACUACAUAUAUGAACCCUGGUCAAAAGUAGUGCACUACAUAUAUGAACCCUGGCCAAAAGUAGUGCACUACAUAUUUGAACCCUGGCCAAAAGUAGUGCACUACAUAUAUGAACCCUGGUCAAAAGUAGUGCACUACAUAUAUGAACCCUGGUCAAAAGUAGUGCACUACAUAUAGUACCAGUCAAAAGUUUGGACCCACUGUUGUUUCUCUUUGCUUAGCUGUUGUUGCCAUAAUAUGGACUUUGUCUUUUACCUGUAUACCACCCCUACCUUGUCAAAACACAACUGAUUGGCUCAAACUCAUUAAAGAAGGAAAGAAAUUCCACAAAUUAACUUUUAACAAGGCACACAUGUUAAUUGAAAUGCAUUCCAGGUGACUACCUCAUGAAGCCGGUUGAGAGAAUGCCAAGAGUGUGCAAAGCUGUUAUCGAGGCAAGGGGUGGCUACUUUGAAGAAUCUCAAAUAUAAAUUAUAUUUUGAUUUGUUUUACACUUUUUUGGUUACUGCAUGAUUCCAUAUGUGUCAUAGUUUUGUACAAAAUAGUACAAAACAAAGAAAAAACCUUGAUUGAGUAGCUGAGUCCAAACUUUGACUGGUACUGUAUAUAUCUAUCUAUACAGUAUCUUUAAAAUGAUGCAGUAGGUAGGUACCAUACCAAAUGGCAUCCUCUUCCCUAUGAACCCUGGGCAAAAGUAGUGCACUAUAGGUAAUAGGCUGACAUUUGGGACACUCCCUCAGUGCCCUCGCGUCAUACUAACUGACUUGUACCAUCAUCCCAUCCCUCCUCCAAAUGUGGGGCAAUCUCCAAGUAUGAGGCAAAGGGCCAGAGUAAGAGCCCUCCUAGCAGAUAGACAUUCACAGGUCGGCUAGCAGGAAGCGCUUAGGGAUCCGAGGCAUUGUGUGUGUGUGUGUGUGUGUGUGUGUGUGUGUGUGUGUGCAGCCAGUUCGUUCAAGAUUAUUGUUGAAAUUGGACGUCUAUCGCUUUCCUGAAGACAUCGGGAAAUGCCUUCAAAACCAGCCACUAGAGGCAACAGUGAGCACUAUUACCAUCAAGUAGGCCUGGGUUUUGCUGGAGUGUUGUGGAUGAGCGGAUGGAGAGGUGGAAUCCCAUACCUCUGGAUCAGAAGGCUGUGUGUUUGAUCCUGGUCACAGACACUGGUUUUUAUAGUUGGUUUUAACUUAACCCUAUCCAAACCUUGACCUUUACCUUAACCAUUCAGAAUGAGAGACUAAACUCAAUGUCUUAACCCUAUAGAAUCCUUAACCAGUACCUUAGCCCUAUCCAAACCUUGACCAGUACCUUAACCCUAUCCAAUCCUUAACCAGUACCUUAACCCUAUCCAAACCUUGACCAGUACCUUAACCCUAUCCAAUCCUUAACCAGUACCUUAACCCUAUCCAAUCCUUGACCAGUACCUUAACCCUAUCCAAUCCUUAACCAGUACCUUAACCCUAUCCAAACCUUGACCAGUACCUUAACCCUAUCCAAACCUUGACCAGUACCUUAAACCUAUCCAAUCCUUAACCAGUACCUUAACCCUAUCCAAUCCUUAACCAGUACCUUAACCCUAUCCAAUCCUUGACCAGUACCUUAACCCUAUCCAAACCUUGACCAGUACCUUAACCCUAACCAAUCCUUAACCAGUACUUUAACCCUAUCCAAACCUUGACCAGUACCUUAACCCUAUCCAAUCCUUAACCAGUACCUUAACCCUAUCCAAACCUUGACCAGUACCUUAACCCUAUCCAAUCCUUAACCAGUACCUUAACCCUAUCCAAACCUUGACCAGUACCUUAACCCUAACCAAUCCUUAACCAGUACUUUAACCCUAUCCAAACCUUGACCAGUACCUUAACCCUAUCCAAUCCUUAACCAGUACCUUAACCCUAUCCAAACCUUGACCAGUACCUUAACCCUAUCCAAUCCUUAACCAGUACCUUAACC
Oncorhynchus tshawytscha (Chinook salmon) is the source of this 3430-nucleotide long non-coding RNA. The record is from Ensembl. Lineage: Eukaryota; Metazoa; Chordata; Actinopteri; Salmoniformes; Salmonidae.